RNAcentral lists this ribosomal RNA (194 nucleotides) under uncultured eukaryote. RNAcentral describes it as "partial 18S ribosomal RNA". It matches the Rfam family "Eukaryotic small subunit ribosomal RNA", at positions 1 to 197 of the family's 1831-position model. The record is from RNAcentral.
GGAACCUGGUUGAUCCUGCCAGUGUCAUAUGCUUGUCUCAAAGACUAAGCCAUGCAUGUCUAAGUAUAAAUGUUAUACAGUGAAACUGCGAAUGGCUCAUUAAAACAGUUAUAGUUUAUUUGAUAAUCGAAUCUACAUGGAUAACCGUGGUAAUUCUAGAGCUAAUACAUGCUGGUUAGCCUGACUUCGCGGAA